UGUUUUUCAAAGGUGCUUUUGAACUAAAAAACAAAAGCUAGAAAUUCUAGCUUUCUCAUUUGAAAAAAAAAAAUACAUUUAAAGUCAAAUGGUAUUUUUAACCCUCAUUUAUAAUCUAAUGUACAGGGGCGAAGCUAGAAAAAUUUUAUAGGGAGCCGAAAUUAAAUUGUAAUUUUUAAUAGCCUAAAUCUUUAUAAUAUUUAAAGGAUUAAAUCAAAAUUUUAUCAUUUUUAGGGGGUAAAUUGAAAUUUUACCUUUACUAAUUUAAAAUUUUUAAAUUUUUAAAGGGACUAAAUGAACAAUUUUUUAUUUUAGGGGGGUCGGGCCCCUACUAGCCCCCUAGAUAUGCCACUACUAAUGUAUCUUAUGUAAUAUCUAUAUUGGAUAUACAAUUAUGUUAAUAUUAAAAUUUAUUUCAAAAUAUAUAAGAAUUUUUAAUAAUUAUUUUUUUUAAUAUUUAAAAUAUAUUUUAUAUAUUCAAAUUAAAUUUUACGAACGAUUUAUAUCAAUUGCUUAAAAAUAUUUAAAAUUUAUCAUAUAUCAAAAUAUUAAUAAUAAUAUUUUCUUAUAUUUUUAUUGAGAUAUCAUAAUAUUAAUGAACUUUAACAUAAUUUAAAUGUAUUUUUUAUUUUAAUUUUACCUCUGUCACCCACUAUAAUAAAAUUUGUUAUUAACAUUUUAUUAAUCUUUUAUAUACGUGUUAGAUUCUUUGCUUUUUGUCAGUUGCUUCAAUUAUCUUCUGCUUUUUUGUCACUAUGUAUUUUGAAAUUAAAAAUGUAAAAUUGAUACCAACAGAAAAAUUUAACACAAAUAUUUUAUGGCAUCAUCAAUAAUUCAAUUUUAAUAGAAAUUUUUAUUUUGGGGGUAAAGGGUGAAAAGUAAAAGUUUAGGGGGAAAAUAAAAAGUUUUGAGGGUUGAGGGAGUAAAAUUUUAGGGGAAAGCAAUUGGGGGGAAAAUAUUCAAAAAAAAAAAUUGGGGAGUAAAAGUUUUAGGGGGAAGUGGGUGGGAGUAAAAGUAUUUGGGGAAAAUAAAAAGGUUUAGAGGUUUGGGGCAAAAAUGUAAAAUAUUAUAGUUUGAUAUUUGGUUUAUUCGGAUUAUUCGAGUUCGAAAAUGAAACUUGAUUCGAACUCAAAAUUUGAAAAAAAAAUUUGAGUUGACUCGAAUAACUCGAUUCCUUUAAAUUGAAAUUCAAUUUUUUUUUCGAUUUUUUCUAGUCGAAUCAAGUUUUGAUCACCCCUAACCAUAAAGCUCAUAAAUUUUAAUUAUGUAACAUUUUAUGUUUUUUAAUUAAUUGUUAUAAUUUUUAUUUUUUAAUUAAUUUCCAAUAUUUUUUAUAAAUUUUAAAAUUUUUAUAAUAUUCUUUUAUAGUUCUAUGAUAAAUCUAAUAAAUGGGUACAUUUGUCUAGAUUCAUUUUGUACUUAUUUUAAAAAUAACUUUUUUAUUUUUAUUUUUGCAAACUUGGCACUACAAUAACAGCAAUCGGUAAAUAUUAUAAAAGCUCAUAAAUUUAGAUUUAUCAUAGAAGAACUCUAUGAAUAAAUGGGUAUCCUUUUUCAAUAUCAAAUAACUUGAAGAACUCUUUGGAUCUAAAGUUAUGAUAAGAGUAAGUAGCUCAACACAUGUUCAUUAAAUAUGCCAUUCAAUUCUUUCAACUAAUUAUCUAUUGUAGCAAUAUAUAUCCACUUGUAGCAAAAUGUAUAUAUCCACUCGAAAAUGAUGCUCUACUAUAACAUCUUCCUUCUUUUUACAACUAUGACCCACCAUGUAUUGAACACUCAUAUCUAGAAUAAUCAACUCUCAAGUUUCACAAAAAUGAUAUUAUAUUGUUCAACAAUUCAUUCCAUCCAUUGCCUUUCAAUUUUUGAACUAAAUUUUUUUUGUUGAGACAAGACUCAUUGCAUUUAACAUAUCUGUAACACCCCUUGUCCGAUCUAACCACUGGGUUUGAGCUACAGGAUGCUACAGUCGUUGUCAGAGCAAUUACUAACAAAAUCAUAUUAAAAUCAUCAUUUCAACUCAUCAAUCAUGCAAUCAACAAUUAUACAACAUUGAAUAUCAUGAACAUUCUUUUCCGGGUCUUAUACAAGCAUACAAAUGCUUUAAAGUCCACUUGAUAUCAAAUAGGGACCUUUUGUAACAUUUAUAAAAUUUCAGAUCAAGUACACCAUAAAUAAAUCAUUCAAAUAUUCAAUCUUGGCAUAAGCACCUAGAUAUUACGAUACACAAUUAAAUCUAAGUCUUAAUAGAACUUACGAAAGCUCUUUGGUAGACCCGAGCAUAAGUUAGGAUCAAAGUGUAAAGUUUUUCGAAAUUUCUAGAUCAGGUAAGGAUACCCCUUAUAAGUAUCGAUACCAAUCUGAACUUCGAUGUUUGGAAAAAUUCAUCUUUAAAUCACAAGUACUGAUACCUAUUAUAAGGUACUGAUACAUCCUUAUAAGUAAUGAUACUUAUUAUAAGUGCCGAUACUAAUUUGUGAAUCUAAUUAUUUUGUAAAACAGAACCAAAGUCAUAUGCAUCGAUACCCUUGUAAAGUAUUGGUAUCUAGAUGUAGGGUAUCGAUACCAAAUUGACAUUUUGUUUGAUUGAAAAAUCAUUUGAGAAUACUAAGUAUCGAUAUCUUUGCCAAGGGUACCAAUACUUCAAUGCCAAAAUGUUAAAAACAUCCAUUUUGUGCCCAUUUCAUGCCUAACCAAGUCUAUACUUAAAAUGGAGCCUUAAGCACACCAAGGACCUGCAACAAUUUCAUUUCAAAACAUAUACCAUAAUCCAAUAUACAACUCUAACAUCAGCUAAACCAAUAUGCCAUAUUUGGCACCAUUUCACAUUCAUAUAAAUAUGUCAAUUUCAUACAUAAACCAAGAAUUCAUUCAAGCAAUGCAUCUAAACACAACAUUUCCAUUUGCAUAAUCAAACAAACAAUUUCAUACCAACAACUUUUUCAUAGCAUAUGACUACCAAAUUUGUCAAUCAAGUAAUACUUGUGUCAUGUAUCAAAUAUAUCUACCAUCAUAUUCACAUGUUUAUAUUACCAUUAUCAACCAAAAUCCAACAUUUAUUAAGGUUAAAAUUAAAACCACAUCCAAAAGAAACACAUCUAUUAACCCUAUGUACAUGCUACAUAACUGGACAUAAAAUGUUCAAAGGCUAUCAAAUCAAAUGUUGGAUAGUGUGAUCUUUGAGUUAAACCGACUAGCGAGUUCCACAAAUCGAAUCUACAGAGAAAUUAGGAAAGUAAUAGGGUAAGCAUAUCGAAUGCUAAACAAGUCCAUAUGAAAAUAACUUAACUACCUUGACAUUUUAACUAGUUUAAGAAAUUAAAACAUAAUUGUACAAAACACGACAUUCCUUUGGCAUCCUUAUGCAUACAUAUACAACUUCACAAAACCACCAAUAGGUGAGUCCAUUAAUAGAAGAAUAUCUUAGUACUCAAUUCAUAUACAAGCACAACCAUGGCAUUUUAUAUCAUGUUAUUCAACUUUUCUCAUUUAGUAAACAUGUCAAUCUAAUAACUUGAUUCAAUUUAGUCUAACAUAGAAUUUUACAAUAAUAAGUUAAGUUCAAUGUAAUACAGAGUAAUAUAGCAUUAUGACAUGUAAUAUACUAUUCAAUAUAUUACCAUACACAUAAAUUCCACAAUAAAAUACAAUUUGUACCAUUUAUUCAUCAUGUAACCAUUUGAGCGUAAGACUCGUAUCAUUUCACUGUCAUUUAUCUUUUCCAUUAAUCUAGUAGCUUGAUGAACUAUAAUAAAUAGAUUCGGAUACACGGGUGACUACACCACACUAAAUUGCUCAUAAGAGCUCAAACUAUAACACACCAAGGCACCAAAGUGUAAAGCUCAUAGGCAUCAUAUAAUCAGUAAUUAUACAUCCCCCCACCACACCAGUAUAACUCAGUAAUCUGCAAAAAAUGUUACAUUUUGGUUUACUCCAUAAUAUCUUCGUACAAUCACAUGUAUCCCGCACAACAUGUAAAUAACCCUAUUAACAUGCCAAUCGUAUCAUAUCCUUUAAUACGUUCGCUUAGGCACUUUUAUCAUAUACAAUUCAUUUAUUUAACUAUAAUGCAGUCAAACACAUAUCAUUCAAAUAUAUCAACAUUCCAUAUUCAUUCAUAAUAAUUCUAUUUCUAAUACUUUAAUAUUUAGUCCAUAGAUGUCAAAAUCAUCAAAUUAUAUUUCACACUACUAAAAGACAUUAUAAUAUAGAUUAAACAUAACAUAAACAACGUAGUAAGUUCCAUGUGAACUUAUUUGACAAAAACAAUAACAAACAAGGUGUCAGGGAAUAAUAUUCAAUUUUUCUUUUUUUCUGAGAUUAUCAUCCAAUUAAUUCAUUUCCCGAUCAUGCAUAGGUCGAUUGUUGAAGCUUCAAAAAUGGUUUCUCCUAUGGUGUUCUAAGGUCUGGUCAUGAGAAAAAAUGAAAUGGAAAGAUGAUGGCUCCCUUUUUCUUUUAUUUGUUUUAUUAUUUUAACAUUUAAUAUAAUUUAAUUAAAAUUUUAACAUGUACAUUCCUCAAAUCUAAGCACCUAACCGCCCACCAUUAUAAAAAUGACCUAAUUGUGACUUUGAACCUUAGUUUAAUAUUAUUCAACACUUUUAACAAAUAAAAAUCAAUAGUGAUUAAAUUUUACAACUUUUUCAAUUUAGUCUUUAUACCUUAAUUAGUCGUCAAUUCGACAAAAUUACCUAUCCAAAAUUUAAUUCACCUAUAUAAUAACUCUUUAAUUAUUUAAUAAAUAUAUUUAUGGGAUUGAUUUACGAAAAUGUGGUCACAAUACCUCAAUUUUCAACAUCAUAGACUUUAAGGUCGAAACACUUGUACUUUAGCUAACUAUCCAAUUAACAAAUUCGUCAAACCAAAAUUCAAUAUAAUUUUAUAAUUAACUUGCAAAUAUUAAUUAACAACAUUUACGGACUUGAUCAUCGGAGAACAGGGUUCCAAAACUACCAUUUUCAACACCACUAACUUUUGGGUCGUUACAAUAUCUUAAGAACAGCGUUACAAAUCUUGAUAAAGAUUAUCAAUAAUCAUCAUAAUUUUAUCAUAUGCAAAAUAAAAAUAAACUCAAAAACUCUCAAUCUAUUAUAUCUACACUAUAAGCAUAUACUUAUGGAGAAUAGUUAUGAGCAAUGUUUUUUAGAUUUUGAAGAAUUGUGCUACUUGCAUGAUAUAUAGACAAUACGCCGGUAAUUGUAUUAAAAAAAGAACUCUAUCAAGUCUCACUAGGACAUUGUAAAGUGCCAAAUUGAUUCAUCAUGACGUUUCGAGAAGUAGAAGCCAUAAUAAUAUUGGACUAGACUUUGAAAAAUUGAUGCACUUCAAUUACUUCUCUAGCUAUUGGAACUAAUGCUAAUUGAAGAUGAGAAGAAAAAAAAUGAACAUAAUAAGUAUAUUAAAAUUGAUUCAAAAUUUAAGCUUGCAAGCCAUUGAAUUCACCACACAUAUUUCUUUCUCCAUUAUAGCCUUCACCUAAAAAUUCCAUUCUUCAGAGUUAGUGUUGCAGCAUUUUUAACAUGGACUAUAUAAAAAAAUCAUUUUUAACCAAUCCUUUCUUAACAACAAAUUUUAAAACAAUUGUCAUUUUCUUCUUUCUUGACUCAUUUAUUGCUUCAUCCACAAUAAUGCAAAACUUUCUAUCACCAAUUUCUUUACCAAUAGCAUCAUGAAUUAUAAUAGCAUAUAUCUUUAAUGAUGCAUGUGCACACAGUCAAGAUGCAAAUACAAGCUUAAUUUUCCCACAAUGACUAAUUACAAGAUCUAAGACUAAACAAAUCAAAGUUAAAUCAACUAUAUACUUGCAAGAAUUUGUGUCAAACACCUUCAUGAAAACCAAUCACUUGACGUUACUAUAUGGAAGACCCUCUCUCAAGUGAAUUUUUAAGACAAGUAAAAGUUAUAUACAUUAGUUUGUGCCGUGGUCAGUUUAGAGAGAGUACUAUUAUUUUAGAGUUUUAAUUCAAUUUGGUAUCUUGGAGAAUAAGACUAGUAAAAAUCAACAACUUGAGAUGUAACAUCCCUUACUUGGUCCAACGAUCAACACAAAUAAGCAAUGUCACACUGAUACUUUCAUAACUUAUACAAUUUUUUUCAUUAAAAUAAUCAUUUAAACAUUUGGUGAAAUCCGAUAAAUCAAUUUAAACAUUUAAAAAAAAAACUAUGAGCAUAUUUUUAAAAUCUCUUUGGAAUAAUUCCUAGGUGUUUGGAUAUGUCCAAAACAUAAACAGGGUUUUGGGGAUUUAGAACGACCAAAAAUACAAGUUGUAUAGGUGCAAUACAAUAAGUCUUGAUACUUUGGUAGCAAGUCUCAAGACUUGGCCCAUAAGUCUCUAGAAUUAGCAUGUAAGUAUCUAGAGUUAAGCCUCCUACUAUAGCUUUUUAGAUACUGACUUGCAACUGCCAGUACCUGAAGAUUAGGUAUCAAUACCUGGGUGUAAUAGACCUAAAAAUUAGUUCGAAAAUAUCUCAAAUCAUCCCCAAACAUCAUCAUAUGAUAUCUGUUGGAAAAUAUGGAACUAGUAAUUGAGUGCCAAGGGAGUGCCCACUCAUUUACCACAGGAGCUGUUUUAAGCAAUUUUCAUAUUUAAGAUGUUAGCAAUUUAUGAAACAAUAUUUAUUGGUUGUGCUAAUUAUAUGGUUGAUAUCUAACCCAUCAAUAAAGAUCAUAUCACUUGGCAGAAUAUUUUUUAAAGAUUAGAUUGAAUUAGACCACCUUAUUUAAUCUUUUAAGGUGAUUUCUAGGUGCUUUAAACUUGAAAUUUUGAUCCAAUACUUCAUGCCUCAAGACAUGUCACUUAAGUCUCGAGACUAACAAGUUAGUUGGCUUAGUUUUACUCCAAGGGUCCCUAGUUUCGUUACCUUUGGGCCAAGUAUCGAUACUUGCAAGCCAGUAGCUAAAAAGCCACAGUAAAAAGGGCAAAGUCUCAAUACUUAUGAGCUAAGUCUCAAUACUUUUGAGCCAAGUCUUGAGAUUUACUCCACUACACUAAAAACUUUUGUAUUUUUGUCAUUUUAAACCUCCGAGAGCUCCUUUUGGUUCCAAACACCUCCGGGAACUUAUGAAUUGUUUUUAAAUGAUUUUAAAAUGUUUUCAAAGCCUCCAAAUAUAUUAAUCUUGAUUUAUUGAAUUUAUUUAAUUGAGUUAAAAAUGAUGUCUUGAGAUUAUAAGUUAUAAGUGUCUUGCAUUUGUCUUAGUAAUAUCUCAUAUACUAAUCAUCGGGAUGAGUAAGAGGUGUUACAUGUUAUUAUUGGUUACUUAUGAAGCCUAUGAGCUUUGAUCCACGUGGCUUCUAGUAGAGAGUUAUUUGGAAGCUUAAUACCCUGCCAAAAGUCAAACUAUUUGCAUGGUGCAUAGGCCUUGAGAUAGUUCUAACAGUGGCCAAGAUAGCCACUACUCCUACGUCUAACAAUGCUAGAUGUAGGAAAUAGACCAUCCUUCAUGCCUUACGAAAUUGUCAGGUAUCUCGUGAUACUUAUAUUCUAGUUAGGAUUGGUAAUUCUUUAUUGUUUGUUGAUGUAAUGAGCUGUAUUAACUGGCUUGAACAUACGAUGAGGUUGCUUGAUAAGGAGGCAUUAACAAGCAUAUUGUCCCUGAUUUGGCCCCUAUGGAAUGUGAGUAAUGAUGGGGUCUUGAAAAGAAAACAAACUCUAGCACAUGUUGCUUUGUGAUAUGCGCACAAGCUCCAAAGCGAGUUCAAGGUCCAUAAUCUCAUUCAUAGGCCCUUGAUUCCGAAAGUGCCACAAGUUGUUCCAUGGAGACCUCCUUAAGGCUUGGCUUUGAAGCUAAACGUGGAUGCUUCUUUUUUUGAGGCGUGAGUCCGUGUGGGGCUUUGUGCAGUAUUGUAAGAUGGAGAUGGGUUGGUCUAUAAAGGUUUUAGGCGACAACUUGGAGGGGUUAUUGACCCAAAAUAGGCGGAGGCCCAUGCCGUAAUUGUUGGGUUAUGUUAUGCACAAUUUUGGAGAGUAAUUGUAUUUUGGUAGUCUCUAAACUUAAUUCAUUCAUAGUAUGGACUUACCUUUAUUGGGCCAAUUGUUAAAUGAGGCUCAGAUUUUUAUCUUUUUAUUCGACUGUCCUAUUUUUCAAUACGUAGCCUGUUCAGGUGAUACAUUAACAGACAAACUUAAUCAUUUAAGCUUAGAGUGUAUGAGCUCAUAUUCGUUUUCGAUUACCAGCGGAAUUACAUUCUUUUGUUCUUAACUAUAUUUGUUGAAGUUGAAUGGGUUUUAAUUAAAAAAAAAAAAGAUGGGUGAGCUUAAAAAUGAAUCAAACUAGUUGCAGCCCAAUAAAAUCUCAAUCUAGAUAUUAUUUUCUUCAUUUUCCAACAUUAUAUGGACAUUAAUCAAAUCCAAAGCUCACCUUUUGUUCACAUUCAAUCCAUCAAUUCAUUCCAAAAAGAUCUAAUUUCAUCCACAUGUUUCUUUAUUUAUUCCAUUUCCAGAAAAUUAUCAAAUAUUUUUUCAAGCAUCCACAGUCUCCUCUGUUUCAGCAGCAGCUAGAACAAACUCAGGCUGUACCCUUUCAGCUUCGCUGAAGGUCCCAUCUACGGCGUUGGGCUGCCCCAAUGCCUUCAAGGCUAAGUGUGCUGCUUUCUGCCCUGAUAUCAUCAUUGCUCCAAAUGUUGGACCCUGAAAAAACCAAAUCCACAAUUUCAUCGUUAUAACACAUCAAUAACUCAAAUCACAAUUAAAAAGUAAAAAGGGAGUGUUAAUAGUUACCAUUCUUGGGGCACCAUCAAUCUCUGCAACUUCCAUUCCUGUUACAAUCAUGCCAGGCACAAUUUCCCUUGUAAGCCUAACGAUUGCAUCCUCUGCCGUGUUCAUAUCCAGUGCCUUCAUUCCAGGGACGCUGUCAAUCAUCCCAAUGCUCUUCAAUCUCUUGACCCCAGUGGCUCCAAAAGGUCCAUCAUGUCCACAAGAACUGACCACAACCUUAGACUCCAUCACGUUCGGGUCCAUGCAGGAUUGUGUGUCGUGGUUCAUUGACACCAAAGCCCAGUUCGUUACCACACCGGCAACCCUGUUUCCUUUGACUAUCAGAUCCUCAGCAGCCACAGCAUUGAACAACUUCACGUUAGGCCUUGCUAAAAGCUUGCUCAUGAUUGUUGAUGUGAACAAAGCUGCAUGCUUGAUGACAACGUAGUCUUCUUGUUCGUCAUAUUGGAUGCCGAGCUCGUCGAGGAACCUGUGAGCUGGUUUGCGAACAACCAUGGCUGAAAAUAGUUGGCCACCAAGCCAUGCACCUCCACCAGGGCUAACAGAUUGUUCGAUUAUGGCAACACGGAUGUUGGGGUUUUUGCUAAUCUCGUAAGCACAAGAGAGGCCAGCGGAACCGGCGCCGACGAUGAUAACAUCAGUGUCAGCAUAGGUAAUCAUGUCCAUCAUGUAACGGCGUGUCAUUUCACGAGAAACAUAGGAUUCUUUGAUGGGUUGGAAUUCAAAGGAUUGUAAGUCA
Molecule: long non-coding RNA, 9451 nt
Filed under: Gossypium barbadense (sea-island cotton)
Lineage: Eukaryota; Viridiplantae; Streptophyta; Magnoliopsida; Malvales; Malvaceae
Description: long non-coding RNA (GBAR_LNC017326)
Source: RNAcentral